This 406-nucleotide ribosomal RNA is filed under the name uncultured bacterium. Its description in RNAcentral is "bacterial SSU rRNA". It matches the Rfam family "Bacterial small subunit ribosomal RNA", at positions 354 to 777 of the family's 1533-position model. The record is from RNAcentral.
GUGGGGAAUAUUGCACAAUGGGGGAAACCCUGAUGCAGCAACGCCGCGUGAGUGAAGAAGUAAUUCGUUAUGUAAAGCUCUAUCAGCAGGGAAGAAAAUGACGGUACCUGAGUAAGCAGCCCCGGCUAACUACGUGCCAGCAGCCGCGGUAAUACGUAGGGGGCAAGCGUUAUCCGGAUUUACUGGGUGUAAAGGGAGCGUAGACGGUAAAGCAAGUCUGAAGUGAAAUGCCAGUGCUCAACACUGGAACUGCUUUGGAAACUGUUUGGCUGGAGUGCAGGAGAGGUAAGUGGAAUUCCUAGUGUAGCGGUGAAAUGCGUAGAUAUUAGGAGGAACACCAGUGGCGAAGGCGGCUUACUGGACUGUAACUGACGUUGAGGCUCGAAAGCGUGGGGAGCAAACAGGA